CCCUUAGAUGUUCUGGGCCGCACGCGCGCUACACUGAUGCAUUCAACGAGUCUAAAACCUGCUCUGAUAGGGGUGGGUAAUCUUUUGAAUGUGCAUCGUGAUUGGGAUAGAUGAUUGCAAUUUUUCAUCUUCAACGAGGAAUGCCUAGUAAACGCAAGUCAUCAGCUUGCAUUGAUUACGUCCCUGCCCUUUGUACACACCGCCCGUCGCUCCUACCGAUUGAAUGAUCCGAUGAAUAUCAUGGAUUGAGGAUUAUAGCAGGUUCGCCUGUCUUGAUCUUCUAGAAGUGAAGUAAAUCUUAUCAUUUAGAGGAAGGAGAAGUCGUAACA
Molecule: ribosomal RNA, 329 nt
Filed under: uncultured eukaryote
Lineage: Eukaryota
Description: partial 18S ribosomal RNA
Rfam family: Eukaryotic small subunit ribosomal RNA
Source: RNAcentral